RNAcentral lists this ribosomal RNA (479 nucleotides) under uncultured bacterium. RNAcentral's name for it is "partial 16S ribosomal RNA". It matches the Rfam family "Bacterial small subunit ribosomal RNA", at positions 28 to 523 of the family's 1533-position model. The record is from RNAcentral.
GACGAACGCUGGCGGCGUGCUUAACACAUGCAAGUCGAGCGAUGAAGCACCUUCGGGUGUGAAUUAGCGGCGAACGGGUGAGGAACACGUGAGACAUCUGCCUUCAACACUGGGAUAACUCCGGACAACCGGGGCCAAUACCGGAUAUGAAACAUGCCGUCAUCCGCGGCCUUGGACAGUUCUUCGGUUGAAGAUGAUCUCGCGGCCUAUCAGCUUGUUGGUGAGGUAAUGGCACACCAAGGCGACGACGGGUAGCCGGCCUGCGAGGGCGACCGGCCACACUGGGACUGAGACACGGCCCAGACUCCUACGGGAGGCAGCAGUGGGGAAUAGUGGGCAAUGGAGGAAACUCUGACCCAGCGACGCCGCGUGCGGGAUGAAGGCCUUCGGGUUGUAAACCGCUUUCAGCAGGGAAGAAGCGAAAGUGACGGUACCUGCAGAAGAAGCACCGGCUAACUAUGUGCCAGCAGCCGCGGUAA